ACCUUUUAAGGCCUGAAGUAUUUACCUGUAAACUUGUACAGUACUUGGAAAAGAAAUUGCAUUUAAUUUGAAAUUGGAAAAAAAAAAGUUUUUGAUACCUUUUUUUUUCUAAACCCAGAGUAAACUUGUUCAAGAUGUUCAAGAGUGACAGUUUCCUCUCCUCUUAAGUUAUUUAUGUUCUUAUGUGUGCUAGUUUGAACUGCGGUUUGCUUAAAAUAUAUUUCUUUUCUCGCCACCAUCAUCAAUGAAGAAAAAACAAAAAACAAAAAAGAAGUCAGUGUGAUGAAGUCAAUGUUACAUUCUCAUUUUUGUCUUUCUUAUCCUGUGGCAUGGUUUGGGUAGACAAGCAGAAGAAAAAUGCCUGUAAAUUUACUUUUCUUUUUUAUUUUCAUCUUUUUUAAUUUAAUUGAAAUUUUUUUUUAAAUUUUCAUUUCAUAAUCUCGGUUAAAAAAAAUAGGUAAACGUGCACUGAAAAUGUCUAAAAUUGAGUUGAAAUGUCGUAGGUGAUGUAGGCCGUAAAAACACACGAUUAAAAAGUUAAAAACUACUGUCUGAUUUUAAUGUUCACUGUGUUUUAUACAGUAUUCGAAAUUUUUUUGUUCACUUUGAACAUUUUUACUAAAAAGAAAACAACAAAAAAAAUUUCAAAUUGUAUUGUGCAAAGAGAUGUAAUUUUUGGAGUACUUGAAAUGCAUUAAUUAAAAGACUCAUUCAAAAUAAAAUAGACCUGUUUACUGUCUGCGAAGUAUGUGCUCUCUGGUUUUUCACAGUUUUAUAUGCUCUACGUUCUUAUUUAAGGCAGUGAAUUUAACUAAAAUGAACAAAAUGUUCACUAAGGUCAGGGGUGUCCCUGUAGGAGGUGGGUUGGGAUCGUUUGAGGAAACUAUCUUUAAACAUAAAGAAAAUAAAGCAUAUCCACCAGUUUUAUAGAGAAAAUGAUGCAUUUAUGACUCAGAAAUUGUCUCCCGCCCCACAGAACGCCCCUCCCAGUGAAGAUGUGCUGAAGUGGGAGUGUCUGAAACAGUAGGAGGUUCUUAAAGAGACAGAGGCCUAUUUCAAGGUGUUUAGAGAGGCUAUGAUGCAAAGUCAACCAUUUAGAAGGAAGAAUAAAUCUUUGAUCAUUUCAGUCACUCAUAAUUUGUAUUGAGACUUUCAACCAGCCCUACAUGCUGCAGCCAGAGGAGAAGGAAGUAGAUGAAAUUGUAGUUAAGUCCAGACAUUAUUUGGCAGUUUUGUUGCAUGUGACGUAUUAGUUCAGAAAAUAGAGAAAACUGAACAAGUUGAAAAAUACGACCCAAACAGAAUAUAAAGUUAUCCACGCAGCACCGGGAGAGACUAAGUUCAAAUUAUCUGCACUCCUAGUGACAAAAAGUAUUUGACAGCUAAAAUGUGGAUUUUGCGCACGUCCCCUUUAAACAAGACAUGGCUUUCAAAGGUCUUUGUUUUCUAGUUUCCCUUUUAUUCUUGAAAUUAUCUCAAUAUUUCAGCUUUAAAUUCUUAGUUUGUUCCCUCACUGUUGGACCGAUGUAGUUGAUUUGUUUGUUUGGUCUGGUGGUUGCAGUACAGAGACUCUGGCAGCAGAGGGAGCACUGGCUUCAGGUCUAUGUUAGUUCCAGCUGUCUGUGAGGAGCUGACAUCACAACCCAUCAGCUGCUGUCCUCGUCCUCUUCCUCCUCCUCCUCCUCCUCUUCCUCCUCGUGGGCCUUCUCGGCCUCGUCGUGGGGAUGGUGCAGCUCGA
This is a long non-coding RNA of Austrofundulus limnaeus, 1738 nucleotides long. RefSeq lists it as uncharacterized. NCBI's taxonomy places the organism in Eukaryota, Metazoa, Chordata, Actinopteri, Cyprinodontiformes, Rivulidae. The record is from RefSeq and is a predicted model, not a curated record. The transcript is spliced from 3 exons.